RNAcentral lists this ribosomal RNA (518 nucleotides) under Triticum aestivum (bread wheat). Its description in RNAcentral is "partial small subunit ribosomal RNA". Lineage: Eukaryota; Viridiplantae; Streptophyta; Magnoliopsida; Poales; Poaceae. The record is from RNAcentral.
CGGCGAGCGCGUACAGGGGAGGAACGGGCGCGCGGAGCUUCGGGCGAGUUGGUCGCAGCAUCCUACGGCGUCAAAUCGAAGAGGAGAAGGGGAGUUUGGACGUGGUGCUCACCUAGGAGCACACGGAGGCUCGGCGGGAGGUUUAGGAGCAGCAGGCGGUCGAAGUGGAGGAAGCCCGCCGUCGUAGUAGAGGAGGCAGACGGCGCGGUGGCGUUCCGAGGUGGUCGAAGGGGUCGGGGCGGUGCUGCGGGGCCGUCCCGGUCCGAUCUCGUCUAGGAGGAGGAGGAAGGCGUCCGCGAUGGAGCUGUCGGACAGCUCAGAACGGAGAGGGGAGGCUGGUGGCUGCGUCCAUGGCGACGGCGAGCCCUCGGGACGGCGUCGGCGUCGAGGCGCCGCGGAUGGAGCGGAUCUGGCGAGAGGGGGGGAGGAGGAACCGAGGAGGAGAGGGGGAAGUGGAGCGGGGAGACGAGGGGACCGAGGGGAAGGCGGCCUUAUCCCCUCCUGUCGGCGUCGGCGAG